This 836-nucleotide long non-coding RNA is filed under the name Bos indicus x Bos taurus (hybrid cattle). Its description in RNAcentral is "lncRNA (ENSBIXG00000005955.1)". The record is from RNAcentral. Lineage: Eukaryota; Metazoa; Chordata; Mammalia; Artiodactyla; Bovidae.
CACUUCUCUCCAGCCUCAAGUCACAAGGCCUCCCUAAGGCUUCAGGUGCCCUGCCCCUUGCUCUCUGGAUCUGUCCGAGGAUGUAGGGGUGGGAUGGCACCUGGCGCCAAUGCUGAAAAAACUGCACAAAUUCGAAUCCAGGACUGAGUAAAGCCCACAACAACACUGAGGCAGUCUCAAGGAAAAGAGGAAGAAGAGACUUUCUACGAGUGUCUGUGCCAAGAAACUCGGCUUGCAGAACUGCAAGGGCAGAAUAAGUCAUGUGAAGGGGAGGAGACAUGAAAUGCUAACAUGCAUUGGUUUUGUAAAAGAGACCACUUACUGAGCAUUGACUCUGUGUCAAACUGUGCCAAGCGAUUAAGAGAAUUCAUCUCCUUUCUGUGUUACUCUCUCCUUUUCUCUUUCCCAGUGAAGUAGAGAUUUCACCGUCUCUGUUCCAGAGAGGAAUGUUGAGGAGGUUAUGUAACUUUGCCAACUUGAAUGCUGCUAGCAAACAGAGAGCCAAGACUCAAACUGGCUUCAGCCUGACACACAGCCCACGUUCCUCAAACGACCACCAGGAGCAGCAGCCACAGCUCAGCUCCCAGGGCUCAGCCUGCAGAUGCCACAACUCCUGAGCCCAUGAACCACAACUACCGAAGCCCACACACCCUAGCCCCCCAGCUACACAAAAGAAGCCACCGCAAUGAGAAGCCCUCACACUGCAACUAGAGAGAAGCCUGCUUGCAGCAAGUACUUAACCUCCUGACACCUGUUUCUCCAGUUGAAAAACAGAAUAACAGUGCCUUGGACUGCAAGGAGAUCCAACCAGUUCUUCCUUAAGGUAAUCAGUACUG